RNAcentral lists this ribosomal RNA (273 nucleotides) under uncultured bacterium. Its description in RNAcentral is "partial 16S ribosomal RNA". It matches the Rfam family "Bacterial small subunit ribosomal RNA", at positions 40 to 339 of the family's 1533-position model. The record is from RNAcentral.
CGGCAUGCCUAACACAUGCAAGUCGAACGAAGCCUUCGGGCUUAGUGGCGGACGGGUGAGUAACGCGUGGGAACCUGCCCUUGAGUGGGGAACAACCUUUGGAAACGAAGGCUAAUACCGCAUACGCUCUGAGGAGGAAAGGCUUCGGCCGCUCUUGGAUGGUCCCGCGUUAGAUUAGCUUGUUGGUGGGGUAACGGCCUACCAAGGCGACGAUCUAUAGCUGGUCUGAGAGGAUGAUCAGCCACACUGGGACUGAGACACGGCCCAGACUCC